Molecule: ribosomal RNA, 274 nt
Filed under: uncultured bacterium
Lineage: Bacteria
Description: partial 16S ribosomal RNA
Rfam family: Bacterial small subunit ribosomal RNA
Source: RNAcentral
AUACGAAAGGUGCAAGCGUUGUUCGGAUUUACUGGGCGUAAAGAGAGUGUAGGUUGUUUAUUAAGUCGGAUGUGAAAUCCCGGGGCUCAACCUCGGAACUGCAUUCGAUACUGAUAGGCUAGAGUUUGGGAGGGGUAAGCGGAAUUCCGUGUGUAGCAGUGAAAUGCGUAGAUAUACGGAGGAACACCUGAGGCGAAGGCGGCUUACUGGACCAAUACUGACACUGAGACUCGAAAGCGUGGGUAGUAAACAGGAUUAGAAACCCCAGUAGUCC